AACGAACGCUGGCGGCAUGCCUAACACAUGCAAGUCGAACGAGACCUUCGGGUCUAGUGGCGCACGGGUGCGUAACGCGUGGGAACCUGCCCUUAGGUUCGGAAUAACUCCCCGAAAGGGGUGCUAAUACCGGAUAAUGUCUUCGGACCAAAGAUUUAUCGCCUUUGGAUGGGCCCGCGUUGGAUUAGCUAGUUGGUAGGGUAAAAGCCUACCAAGGCGACGAUCCAUAGCUGGUCUGAGAGGAUGAUCAGCCACACUGGGACUGAGACACGGCCCAGACUCCUACGGGAAGCAGCAGUGGGGAAUAUUGGACAAUGGGCGAAAGCCUGAUCCAGCAAUGCCGCGUGAGUGAUGAAGGCCUUAGGGUUAUAAAGCUCUUUUACCCGGGACGAUAAUGACAGUACCGGGAGAAUAAGCUCCGGCUAACUCCGUG
RNAcentral lists this ribosomal RNA (433 nucleotides) under uncultured bacterium. RNAcentral describes it as "partial 16S ribosomal RNA". It matches the Rfam family "Bacterial small subunit ribosomal RNA", at positions 29 to 507 of the family's 1533-position model. The record is from RNAcentral.